UACGUAGGGUGCAAGCGUUAAUCGGAAUUACUGGGCGUAAAGCGUGCGCAGGCGGUCUGUUAAGACCGAUGUGAAAUCCCGGGCUUAACCCUGGGAACUGCAUUGGUGACUGGCGGGCUAGAGUAUGGCAGAGGGGGGUAGAAGUUCCACGUGUAGCAGUGAAAUGCGUAGAGAUGUGGAGGAAUACCGAUGGCGAAGGCAGCCCCCUGG
Molecule: ribosomal RNA, 210 nt
Filed under: uncultured bacterium
Lineage: Bacteria
Description: partial 16S ribosomal RNA
Rfam family: Bacterial small subunit ribosomal RNA
Source: RNAcentral